RNAcentral lists this ribosomal RNA (254 nucleotides) under uncultured bacterium. RNAcentral's name for it is "partial 16S ribosomal RNA". It matches the Rfam family "Bacterial small subunit ribosomal RNA", at positions 524 to 776 of the family's 1533-position model. The record is from RNAcentral.
UACGUAGGGCGCAAGCGUUGUCCGGAUUAUUGGGCGUAAAGAGCUCGUAGGCGGUUUGUCGCGUCUGCUGUGAAAACCUAAGGCUCAACCUUGGGCUUGCAGUGGGUACGGGCAGACUAGAGUGCGGUAGGGGUGACUGGAAUUCCUGGUGUAGCGGUGGAAUGCGCAGAUAUCAGGAGGAACACCGAUGGCGAAGGCAGGUCACUGGGCCGCAACUGACGCUGAGGAGCGGAAAGCAUGGGGGAGCGAACAGG